This 700-nucleotide ribosomal RNA is filed under the name uncultured bacterium. RNAcentral describes it as "bacterial SSU rRNA". It matches the Rfam family "Bacterial small subunit ribosomal RNA", at positions 94 to 792 of the family's 1533-position model. The record is from RNAcentral.
ACCGGCGCACGGGUGCGUAACGCGUAUGCAACCUACCUUUUACAGAGGGAUAGCCCAGAGAAAUUUGGAUUAAUACCUCAUGGUAUAUAUUAUUCGCAUGUUUGAUAUAUUAAAGUUCCAACGGUAAAAGAUGGGCAUGCGUCCUAUUAGCUAGAUGGUAAGGUAACGGCUUACCAUGGCAACGAUAGGUAGGGGUCCUGAGAGGGAGAUCCCCCACACUGGUACUGAGACACGGACCAGACUCCUACGGGAGGCAGCAGUGAGGAAUAUUGGACAAUGGGCGCAAGCCUGAUCCAGCCAUGCCGCGUGCAGGAAGAAGCAUCUAUGGUGUGUAAACUGCUUUUGUACAGGAAGAAACAUCCCGACGUGUCGGGACUUGACGGUACUGUAAGAAUAAGGAUCGGCUAACUCCGUGCCAGCAGCCGCGGUAAUACGGAGGAUCCAAGCGUUAUCCGGAAUCAUUGGGUUUAAAGGGUCCGUAGGCGGUUUAUUAAGUCAGUGGUGAAAGCCCGCAGCUCAACUGUGGAACGGCCAUUGAUACUGAUAGACUUGAAUUACUGGGAAGUAACUAGAAUAUGUAGUGUAGCGGUGAAAUGCUUAGAUAUUACAUGGAAUACCAAUUGCGAAGGCAGGUUACUACCAGUGGAUUGACGCUGAUGGACGAAAGCGUGGGGAGCGAACAGGAUUAGAUACCCUGGUA